CGAAAACGAAUUCUCUCUUGAGUGGAUCCUGAGUACGACGGAGCACGUGAAAUUCCGUCGGAAUCUGGGAGGACCAUCUCCUAAGGCUAAAUACUCUCUAGUGACCGAUAGUGAACCAGUACCGUGAGGGAAAGGUGAAAAGUACCCCGGAAGGGGAGUGAAAGAGAACUUGAAACCGUGUGCUUACAAGUAGUCAGAGCCCGUUAAUGGGUGAUGGCGUGCCUUUUGUAGAAUGAACCGGCGAGUUACGAUCUGAUGCAAGGUUAAGCAGAAAAUGUGGAGCCGUAGCGAAAGCGAGUCUGAAUAGGGCGAAUGAGUAUUUGGUCGUAGACCCGAAACCAGGUGAUCUACCCUUGGUCAGGUUGAAGUUCAGGUAACACUGAAUGGAGGACCGAACCGACUUACGUUGAAAAGUGAGCGGAUGAACUGAGGGUAGCGGAGAAAUUCCAAUCGAACUUGGAGAUAGCUGGUUCUCUCCGAAAUAGCUUUAGGGCUAGCCUCAAGUGAUGAUUAUUGGAGGUAGAGCACUGUUUGGACGAGGGGCCCCUCUCGGGUUACCGAAUUCAGACAAACUCCGAAUGCCAAAUAAUUUAACUUGGGAGUCAGAAUGUGGGUGAUAAGGUCCAUAUUCGAAAGGGAAACAGCCC
This 647-nucleotide ribosomal RNA is filed under the name Staphylococcus pseudintermedius. RNAcentral describes it as "partial 23S ribosomal RNA". It matches the Rfam family "Bacterial large subunit ribosomal RNA", at positions 380 to 1028 of the family's 2925-position model. The record is from RNAcentral. Lineage: Bacteria; Bacillati; Bacillota; Bacilli; Caryophanales; Staphylococcaceae.